UGAGGUGUAGCCAAGUGGUAAGGCAUCAGACUCUGAAUCUGACAUCCGUGGGUUCGAAUCCCUCCACCUCAGCCA
This 75-nucleotide transfer RNA is filed under the name Candidatus Gracilibacteria bacterium GN02-872. RNAcentral's name for it is "tRNA-Gln". It matches the Rfam family "tRNA". Rfam says of the family: Transfer RNA (tRNA) molecules are approximately 80 nucleotides in length. Their secondary structure includes four short double-helical elements and three loops (D, anti-codon, and T loops). The record is from RNAcentral. RNAcentral also lists the same sequence under 2 other names. Lineage: Bacteria; Candidatus Altimarinota.